GCAUGCAGGUGAGAAGGGAAGAUACGUGUAAUCUGCACGUCUGCCACCAUUCCUUGUUACUCCUUUUUCGUAUCCCAUGAGCACAGCACUCCAGCGGACCUACCCAAAAUAUAUAGGAGUUCAGUGAAACUCAAAUGAAACAACUAGGAGUUGAAGAGUUGCCCACACAGAGUCAAUGGAAAAGAGGAGAGAGAACUCAGCUCCCUAUGCGAGGCUUGUGGGGCAGGAAGGCUUCUUAUGAGACAGAGCUGCAUCCUUCCUUCUGCGAGAGCAAGACUGAACCUAUGUUUGCAGCAGACUUAAGGAGAGUGGCCCUCAGAGGGGCCAGAGCAAGCACACUUCUGGUCAGCCUAUACAGUUUCUGUCCUGGUGAGGAGCAUGGUUACCAACAGGCAAGAUCUUCUGGCCUUGAAGUUUCACUUGAGUUAAAAGAGCUCAUCUCAGGACUUUCUGAAUUUUCAGCCCAUAUGACAUGGAAGAAGAGUUAGAAGGGGAAUCUGACUGCUUGGAUCAGGGACUGUCUGGCUGGUGGAACUUGAAUAGAUGUACAGUGCACCACUUUGAGGAUCAAGUCUGACCCUGCCUUUAAAUUUGGAUUCGAAGUACUUAGAUUUUCUGGAAUCCCAUUCUACAAUCUUCUGGUCGAAAGUAUAAAACCAG
This 660-nucleotide non-coding RNA is filed under the name Pongo abelii (Sumatran orangutan). Lineage: Eukaryota; Metazoa; Chordata; Mammalia; Primates; Hominidae. The record is from RNAcentral.